CCUACGGGUGGCAGCAGUGGGGAAUAUUGCGCAAUGGGCGAAAGCCUGACGCAGCGACGCCGCGUGAGGGAUGAAGGUCUUCUGAUCGGAAACCUCUGUCUGCAGGGAAGAACGGUCACUGUGCUAAUCAGCAGUGAAUUGACGGUACCUGCAAAGGAAGCACCGGCUAACUCCGUGUCAGCAGCCGCGGUAAUACGGAGGGUGCGAGCGUUAAUCGGAAUUACUGGGCGUAAAGCGCUCGUAGGCGGUAUGUCAAGUCAAGGGUGAAAUCCCCGCGCUCAACGGGGGAACUGCCGUUGAAACUGGCAGACUGGAGUGUGGGAGAGGAGAGCGGAAUUCCAGGUGUAGGAGUGAAAUCCGUAGAUAUCUGGAGGAACAUCAGUGGCGAAGGCGACUAACUGGAACAUAACUGACGCUGAGGAGCGAAAGCGUGGGUAGCAAACAGGAUUAGAUACCCCAGUAGUC
This 465-nucleotide ribosomal RNA is filed under the name uncultured bacterium. RNAcentral describes it as "partial 16S ribosomal RNA". It matches the Rfam family "Bacterial small subunit ribosomal RNA", at positions 338 to 795 of the family's 1533-position model. The record is from RNAcentral.